UAAGUAAGACGUGAAAUCGUACGGCUCAACCGUAUAUACAUGUUUUAAACUGGUGAGCUAGAGGAUGAGAGAGGUUAUUGGAAUUUCUAGUGUAGGAGUGAAAUCCGUAGAUAUUAGAAGGAACACCGACGGCGUAGGCAGAUAACUGGCUCAUUUCUGACACUUAGGCACGAAAGCGUGGGGAGCGAACGGGAUUAGAUACCCCGGUAGUCCACGCCGUAAACUAUGGAUGCUA
This 235-nucleotide ribosomal RNA is filed under the name uncultured Candidatus Saccharibacteria bacterium. RNAcentral describes it as "partial 16S ribosomal RNA". It matches the Rfam family "Bacterial small subunit ribosomal RNA", at positions 584 to 818 of the family's 1533-position model. The record is from RNAcentral. Lineage: Bacteria; Candidatus Saccharimonadota.